RNAcentral lists this ribosomal RNA (253 nucleotides) under uncultured bacterium. RNAcentral's name for it is "partial 16S ribosomal RNA". It matches the Rfam family "Bacterial small subunit ribosomal RNA", at positions 524 to 776 of the family's 1533-position model. The record is from RNAcentral.
UACGGAGGGUGCAAGCGUUGCUCGGAAUUAUUGGGCGUAAAGCGUAUGUAGGUGGUUUUCUAAGUCUGAUGUGAAAUCCCAGGGCUCAACCCUGGAACUGCAUUGGAUACUGGAAAGCUAGAGGAUGAUAGAGGAUGGUGGAAUUCCAGGUGUAGCGGUGAAAUGCGUAGAUAUCUGGAGGAAUACCGGUGGCGAAGGCGGCAUCCUGGACCAUUACUGACGCUGAGGCGCGAAAGCUAGGGGAGCAAACGGG